UACGUAGGGUGCAAGCGUUGUCCGGAAUUAUUGGGCGUAAAGAGCUCGUAGGCGGUUUGUUGCGUCGGCUGUGAAAUCCCGAGGCUCAACCUCGGGUCUGCAGUCGAUACGAGCAAACUAGAGUGUUGCAGGGGAGACUGGAAUUCCUGGUGUAGCGGUGAAAUGCGCAGAUAUCAGGAGGAACACCGGUGGCGAAGGCGGGUCUCUGGAACGGUACUGACGCUGAGACGCGAAAGCGUGGGGAGCGAACAGG
Molecule: ribosomal RNA, 253 nt
Filed under: uncultured bacterium
Lineage: Bacteria
Description: partial 16S ribosomal RNA
Rfam family: Bacterial small subunit ribosomal RNA
Source: RNAcentral